Propithecus coquereli (Coquerel's sifaka) is the source of this 1752-nucleotide long non-coding RNA. RefSeq lists it as uncharacterized. NCBI's taxonomy places the organism in Eukaryota, Metazoa, Chordata, Mammalia, Primates, Indriidae. The transcript is spliced from 6 exons. The record is from RefSeq and is a predicted model, not a curated record.
UGCCGCAGUCAUGCUGAGUUUUGGAAUUGGGGAGGCCAAGCAGGGUUUGGGCCACGGUCGCGGCCCUCACGAGUUCCUCGGCCGCGCUGAGGUUCAAAACUCUGGCCUGAGCCAUUCAGCUCCCCUCCACCGCUUUGAGGUUUUGGGGGAUCCGGCCUGUCCCCGCGGACCUUUCGGAGGGGGAGGCCAGGGGUGAGGCUGCGGAGCCUCCUGGAACUCUGACGAUCGCGUCGCUGUCGCGUCUCCUGCUAACCCCCUCCUGUCCUCUUCCGUCAACAGUUCUCUUCUGUCAAAACCAAAAGCACCAUAGGAGCUACAGUAUCUGAUACCGACGUCUUACAGAUAGUUCCUGGGUUCCUUCUGUGAGUUUCUUCUGUUUGUAAAGCUCUGUGCUGGAUGAUUUGAGGAGAUUCAGAACUGAAGAUGGCUCACACCAUGGCUCCAGGUGUCAGUAAUUAACACUGUGGACACCUCCCAUGAGGACAUGCUUGUUUUGCAGCUCCACUCUGGUCCUGUGGAAGGUGUUUGGCACCCAGCGAGACACCAUACUCAAUGCCCUGCAGCUGCUCACAGAUGUCCUGGAAAAGACCCGCUCCAGACAAGACACAGUGGAGAUGGAUGCCCAGCCUGUGGUGACCCAAUGGCGGUGGCCUUCAGUUUUGCUUUGGAGAUAGUGAAGUUGGUGCUCCUGGCCACUGUGUACGAGGGAGUGGUGUCCUAUGCAAAUGACCAUCAUUGCUGGGACCUUCUGUCCAGCUCCAAAUCUUUCUACAUAUGGGUCAUAGACCUGACCAGGUGGAACCACUUCUUGAGUGUCCCUGGCACCACUAUGACCCCGGACCCCAGUUUCUGAGGUCCCAGCACUCAAAUACAGUAGCCUUCCACCCUCCUUCCCCAACUUCCCAGCCCUCUGCUCUCCUGACUCCUCAGCCUUCAUGUCUUCCCUGUUGUGUGCACACUGGACCCUGGCCACUUCCCCCACCCCAGCAACUGCUUGCUUCCUGUGUCCCAUCCCAGUAUAAUGGAAAAGACGUGUGACCCCUGCCUUCUUCACUGAAUCAUGAGCCAUGUCCAGAAGUACCUCUGCAGCAUGGAUGAGGGUAGGAAGAUCCCGGCCAGGGCCUCAUAUGCGCAGGUGAGAGCUGAGAAGAGCACAACAGCUGCAGCCAUCUUCCUGUAGCUGAGGGACUGACUGUUUAACAGGAGGUUAACUAACGUCCCAGGAAGGAGAAAAAAGAGAAUCAGGCCAUCUCAAGUGGAGUUCCCUUCCCUGGCACGUCAGGGGACUGGUUCAAGGAGGCCAGGAAAGCUGGGAAGGGGUUAGCAGUUCUAGUCCUCCCUGAAUAAUGCAGGAUCCCAGAAUUGGGCUCCAAAUUCAAGGCUUACCAGCAAUACCCCCAAGCCCUGCCCCAUAGCCUCCUCCCCACGUGAGCAGACCUGCCACUGCUCUCACCUGGAUGCAGGCCUUGCCUGAGCAGAGGGCUGGGCGAGCACAGGGUCCCCGUGACCUCUCCUCCACCCGUAACCGUGGUGUCCUGCCCCUCAGCUCCUCUGGCACCACCAGUGGCACAGACCCUGAGGCACCAAUCUCUGGGUGCUCUAACCCAGUGGGUCAAGGAUCCCAACUUCAUCAUGGAGGAAAUCGGCCUGCAGGGAAUCAGUAACCUGGCCCUGCACCCGGGAAAUUCAAAGGCUCUCAAGAGGCUGGUUCCAUUCUUACGAGGCUUCCUGAAUGCUGAGGUGCGGGUGGCA